GAUAAACGCUAGCGGCAGGCUUAACACAUGCAAGUCGAGGGGCAGCAUAGAUUGUAGCAAUACAAUUGGUGGCGACCGGCGCACGGGUGCGUAACGCGUAUGCAACCUACCCGUCACAGGGGGAUAAUCCGGAGAAAUCUGGUCUAAUACCCCAUAACAUAUGGAUCGGCAUCGGUUCAUGUUGAAAUCUUCGGAGGUGACGGAUGGGCAUGCGGAGCAUUAGCUUGUUGGUGAGGUAACGGCUCACCAAGGCGACGAUGCUUAGGGGGACUGAGAGGUUUUCCCCCCACACUGGUACUGAGACACGGACCAGACUCCUACGGGAGGCAGCAGUGAGGAAUAUUGGUCAAUGGGCGCAAGCCUAAACCAGCCAUGCCGCGUGCAGGAUGACGGCUCUAUGAGUUGUAAACUGCUUCUGUACGAGGGUAAAGUGGGUUACGUGUAACCUUUUGAAAGUAUCGUACGAAUAAGGAUCGGCUAACUCCGUGCCAGCCGCCGCCGUAA
RNAcentral lists this ribosomal RNA (504 nucleotides) under uncultured bacterium. Its description in RNAcentral is "partial 16S ribosomal RNA". It matches the Rfam family "Bacterial small subunit ribosomal RNA", at positions 28 to 523 of the family's 1533-position model. The record is from RNAcentral.